Durio zibethinus is the source of this 839-nucleotide RNA transcript. RefSeq lists it as uncharacterized. The record is from RefSeq and is a predicted model, not a curated record. NCBI's taxonomy places the organism in Eukaryota, Viridiplantae, Streptophyta, Magnoliopsida, Malvales, Malvaceae.
AUUUCAUGACCGAGGAGACAUGCUGCAUAUAUUUUCGCACUGGCAAAAGAGAAAUCAAACUGAUGAGGAACAGUGAGUCCAAUGAUGCAAGAACAAUCGGUCAUUAUCCUUUUUCUUUUAAAAUUUUUUUUCUGUAAAUUUUUUUGUUGAUCAAGAGAUAUUUAAUAAAUUUCAAACAAAUCUAUUCCGAGAUUUGAGUCAUUAUUCUGUCAUUUUCGACUUUUAUUCGAGAUUUAUCUCAAAAAAACAAUCCGUAAACUACCUGGAUGAUUACGUUUCUCAUUUUAAGAUCAGUCCUUUGUACCGGAGAUGCGUUGAGUCGGCCAAGUUCGAUGAAACAAGCAAGAAAUGGACUGGCGGUGGCUAGUGGAGAAGCAAGCAACCCUUAAUUAUACACCAGAGAUUGAAGGAAUGAAUACCUUCCCUGGAGAUGUUCUCCAUUCAACCUUGUUCAGAAAUGACAAUGCUUUUAGAGACCAGAACGUUUUGGUUGUUGGGUCUGGUAAUUCUGGCACGGAGAUCGCACUGAAACCAGGCAACUUGCGGUUCACAUUCUUUCAAUGAAGAUGGCGUAAUUGGGGUUAAUUAUGUUGAAGUACAUUCCGGUUAACAUGGUGAAGUCGUUGAUGGUCAUGCCUAGCAAGCUUGUUAAUGGGGAAUUGACCAGGCCGAAGGAAGGAGGGUCCAUUUUUCAUGAAAGUUGCCUAUGGAAAGUACCCUGUUUUUGAUGUAGGAACCUAUAACAAGAUCAAGUCCCCAGGGAUUUAGGUAAAUAUUAGAUUGUUUCAUGGAAUAUAAUACUUGAUAAUUUUCCUUUUUUUCUUUUUAUUUUCUUGUAC